Molecule: long non-coding RNA, 366 nt
Filed under: Struthio camelus australis
Lineage: Eukaryota; Metazoa; Chordata; Aves; Struthioniformes; Struthionidae
Description: lncRNA (ENSSCUG00000015265.1)
Source: RNAcentral
CAAGGAGGGAGGAACGAGAGCUGCCUUACCUAGAAUUCUGCUUCUUUUCUUUCUCUGGAAAUGAGAUUGUGCUUGCACCACAUCUCAUGCUGGCAAGAUGAAAGUGUCACAGGUGAACCUGAUUGGAUGAUGUGUUUCCUGCAAAACUUCCAAGCCCUGCGUCCACACUGGCUAUAAAGGCCAAAGGAGUUAAUGUAGACCUGCUUGAACCUGAGUGAGAAACUAGUCGAGACUAUCAAGAAUCUUACAGCUGAGUGACCUGAACCAUAUCACUGAAGCAGCCCUGGAAGAACACCAGCCUUUAGUAAAGAUUUUUUUUUUUUUUUUCUUCAAGGCCACAGGUUCAGUGAACUGAGCACUGCCAGG